RNAcentral lists this ribosomal RNA (426 nucleotides) under uncultured Tolypothrix sp. RNAcentral's name for it is "bacterial SSU rRNA". It matches the Rfam family "Bacterial small subunit ribosomal RNA", at positions 355 to 795 of the family's 1533-position model. Lineage: Bacteria; Bacillati; Cyanobacteriota; Cyanophyceae; Nostocales; Tolypothrichaceae. The record is from RNAcentral.
UGGGGAUUCUUCCGCAAUGGGCGAAAGCCUGACGGAGCAAUACCGCGUGAGGGAGGAAGGCUCUUGGGUUGUAAACCUCUUUUCUCAGGGAAGAAAAAAAUGACGGUACCUGAGGAAUAAGCAUCGGCUAACUCCGUGCCAGCAGCCGCGGUAAUACGGAGGAUGCAAGCGUUAUCCGGAAUGAUUGGGCGUAAAGCGUCCGCAGGUGGCUGUGUAAGUCUGCUGUUAAAGAGUCUGGCUCAACCAGAUAAAGGCAGUGGAAACUACACGGCUAGAGUGCGUUCGGGGCAGAGGGAAUUCCUGGUGUAGCGGUGAAAUGCGUAGAGAUCAGGAAGAACACCGGUGGCGAAAGCGCUCUGCUAGGCCGCAACUGACACUGAGGGACGAAAGCUAGGGGAGCGAAUGGGAUUAGAUACCCCAGUAGUC